UCCGUAGGGUGCAAGCGUUAAUCGGAAUUACUGGGCGUAAAGCGUGCGCAGGCGGUUGUGCAAGACAGAUGUGAAAUCCCCGGGCUUAACCUGGGAACUGCAUUUGUGACUGCACGGCUAGAGUGUGUCAGAGGGGGGUAGAAUUCCACGUGUAGCAGUGAAAUGCGUAGAUAUGUGGAGGAAUACCGAUGGCGAAGGCAGCCUCCUGGGCCAACACUGACGCUCAUGCACGAAAGCGUGGGGAGCAAACAGG
RNAcentral lists this ribosomal RNA (253 nucleotides) under uncultured bacterium. Its description in RNAcentral is "partial 16S ribosomal RNA". It matches the Rfam family "Bacterial small subunit ribosomal RNA", at positions 524 to 776 of the family's 1533-position model. The record is from RNAcentral.